RNAcentral lists this ribosomal RNA (1480 nucleotides) under uncultured prokaryote. RNAcentral describes it as "partial 16S ribosomal RNA". It matches the Rfam family "Bacterial small subunit ribosomal RNA". The record is from RNAcentral.
AGAGUUUGAUCCUGGCUCAGAUUGAACGCUGGCGGUAGGCUUAACACAUGCAAGUCGAGCGGAAACGAAGGUAGCUUGCUAUCAGGCGUCGAGCGGCGGACGGGUGAGUAACGCGAUAGUUAAUCUGCCCUUUAGAAGGGGGAUAACAGUUAGAAAUGACUGCUAAUACCUCAUACUCCUUCUUCCUUAAUGGUAGUUGGGAAAUGUUUUUUCGCUAAAGGAUGAGACUAUAUGGUAUCAGGUAGUUGGUGGGGUAAGAGCCUACCAAGCCAAUGACGCCUAGCCGGUCUGAGAGGAUGAUCAGCCACACUGGAACUGAGACACGGUCCAGACAUCUACGGAUGGCAGCAGUGGGGAAUAUUGCACAAUGGACGAAAGUCUGAUGCAGCAACGCCGCGUGGAGGAUGACACAUUUCGGUGCGUAAACUCCUUUUAUAUGAGAAGAUAAUGACGGUAUCAUAUGAAUAAGCACCGGCUAACUCCGUGCCAGCAGCCGCGGUAAUACGGAGGGUGCAAGCGUUAUUCGGAAUCACUGGGCGUAAAGGGUGCGUAGGCGGUUUGGUAAGUCUGAUGUGAAAUCCUAUGGCUCAACCAUAGAACUGCAUUGGAAACUGCUAAACUAGAAUACUGAAGGGGCAGAUGGAAUUAGUGGUGUAGGGGUAAAAUCCGUAGAUAUCACUAGGAAUACCGAAAGCGAAAGAGAUCUGCUGGGAAGUUAUUGACGCUGAGGCACGAAAGCGUGGGGAGCAAACGGGAUUAGAUACCCCGGUAGUCCACGCCCUAAACGAUGAAUGCUAGUCGUCGGAAAGCUCGUCUUUUCGGUGAUGCAGUUAACACAUUAAGCAUUCCGCCUGGGGAGUACGGUCGCAAGAUUAAAACUCAAAGGAAUAGACGGUGACCCGCACAAGUGGUGGAGCAUGUGGUUUAAUUCGAAGAUACGCGAAGAACCUUACCAAGCCUUGACAUUGAUUGAAUUCUGUAGAGAACAGAAGUGCCUUUCGAGGAACAUGAAAACAGGUGCUGCACGGCUGUCGUCAGCUCGUGUCGUGAGAUGUUGGGUUAAGUCCCGCAACGAGCGCAACCCUCGUCGUUAGUUGCUAACAGUUCGGCUGAGCACUCUAGCGAGACUGCCUUCGCAAGGAGGAGGAAGGUGAGGACGACGUCAAGUCAUCAUGGCCCUUAUGGCUUGGGCUACACACGUGCUACAAUGGGGCGUACAGAGAGUUGCGAUACCGCGAGGUGGAGCUAAUCUCAUAAAGCGUCUCUCAGUUCGGAUUGGACUCUGCAACUCGAGUCUAUGAAGUUGGAAUCACUAGUAAUCGUAGAUCAGCAAUGCUACGGUGAAUACGUUCCCGGGUCUUGUACUCACCGCCCGUCACACCAUGGGAGUUGGCUGCAAAAGAAGUAGGUAGUCUAACCUUCGGGAGGACGCUUACCACUUUGUGGUUAAUGACUGGGGUGAAGUCGUAACAAGGUAGCC